CGGGCGCCUGUUCCUUGCGCUGUGCUCGCCGAUGCGACCCUUGCGGUAUGCGGCUGCUUUUGGCAGAGAGCUCAUGAAGGAUUUCAUUGAGUGUGAAGACAGAGAGCAGAGACAGAAAAGAGAAGAAGGCGGCCGCUGCCUUUGUAGUCUGGCUGGAAUGCGGAAAUGUUGAAGCACUAUGUCAAACUUUUUUGAAACGGGGUCAAAUCACAUUCAGCCAGCGUGGGAAACCAAGGGGAGAAAAAAGUAGAAGCGAGGUGGGGGGAAACUCUUUUGCUCCUGCUGCUGGUCUCAAACCGAGCUCAGGAACCGAGGAGAGAGAGAGAAACUGGGACUGCGCGGAGAGGCGGCGGCGGCGGCGGCGUGCAGAGCUAACGCGGAGCCUUGCAUUCGGGAGACUGUUCGUUGCAAGGCUUUGAUCAGCCCCAGAAAAUUUAGCAGCGCCUCUUUCACUUUUUCCUCAAAGAGGGGGAGGGGAUCCUCAGCGCUUUAAGGUGUAGUCUGCCCUCCCGGCUGGCAGGAAGAUGCGAAUGCGGGGCAGCGAUAGAGCUUCGGAGUUGCUGCUGCCACUACCUGUGUGGCCCCAGUCGCGGCUGCUGGGCUCCGCUCGUGGAAGCUCACCCUCCCCUGUCAUCAUGUGAACGCUUCGAAUCCGGAUCGAUUCUGCUGAGUGUCUCAUUGUCACGGGAAGCGGAAUUUUUAAAAAUAUCUAUCUAUCUAUCUAUCUAUCUAUCUAUCUAUCUAUCUAUCUAUCUCUAUCUAUCUUAGAAAAGACGCUCUCCAUUGUUUUUCCUGCCUCACCAGGUCUUUGCUUUUCAUCUUUCUCUCUCUCUCUUUUUUUUUAAAAAAACUAUUUUUUAACUCCUGUCUUGCUGGAGACCACUUAAGUGGUAACUUCCUCGGAAGAAGCCGAAGCUGCGCCUGAGCAAUUCCAGAUUGAAUUGGGUUUACACAGACAUUUAUUCCAAAGACCAUUGACCAUCUAAGUAAUAGGGCAACCACGGUUUAUUACUACAGUUCUUGAAUGUUACGUCCUGUUGACUGGCCCAUCUGUAAUUGUUCUGGAUACUUGUUGAAGUAGCAGAAAGCGCAUUUUGGCAGCUGGAAUCCAGGUCAACAGAUUCAACAGUUGGAACAUCAGGCAACAAUUUGUGAAGAAGGAAAGCCGUGAAGUCAUGGAUAAGGACAACAUGAGCCUAGCUGACCAGCAGUAUGAAUGUGUGGCGGAAAUUGGUGAAGGAGCCUAUGGGAAAGUGUUCAAGGCUCGAGACUUGAAGAAUGGAGGGCGCUUUGUAGCACUGAAGAGGGUGCGGGUGCAGACCAGCGAGGAAGGGAUGCCACUUUCCACUAUACGCGAGGUGGCAGUCUUGAAGCAUCUGGAAACAUUUGAGCAUCCCAACGUGGUCAGGUUAUUUGAUGUAUGCACAGUAUCCCGAACUGAACGAGAGACGAAAUUAACACUGGUGUUUGAACAUGUUGAUCAAGACUUGACCACUUACUUGAAUAAAGUUCCAGAGCCUGGUGUUCCUAGUGAAACUAUAAAGGAUAUGAUGUUUCAGCUGCUGCGAGGCCUUGAUUUUCUACAUUCACACAGAGUGGUCCACCGUGAUUUAAAGCCCCAAAAUAUUCUAGUUACCAGCAGUGGACAAAUAAAAUUAGCUGACUUUGGUCUUGCACGAAUCUACAGUUUUCAGAUGGCUCUUACUUCUGUGGUUGUUACUUUGUGGUAUAGAGCUCCUGAAGUUCUGCUUCAAUCCAGUUAUGCAACACCAGUUGAUCUUUGGAGUGUAGGUUGCAUAUUUGCAGAAAUGUUCCGUCGCAAGCCGCUUUUCCGUGGUAACUCUGAUGUUGAUCAGCUAGGAAAAAUCUUUGAAGUAAUUGGUCUUCCUGAAGAAGAAGAUUGGCCUAUUGAUGUUGCCCUCCCAAGAAAUGCUUUUGCUUCUCAAUCCCCACAGCCCAUUGAACUUCUUGUAACAGAUAUUGAUGAACUGGGCAAAGACUUGCUACUUAAAUGUCUGACAUUCAAUCCUAUGAAGAGAAUAUCAGCUUAUGAUGCCUUAACCCAUCCUUAUUUUCAUGACUUGGAGAAAUGCAAAGAGAAUACAGAUUCUGAUGUGUCCUCCAGUCAAAACUCCACAGAGAUGAAUUCACUGUAAGGCUUUAUCAGGCUAACCUAAGGAGGAACAAACUAGCUUGAUAAGAUCACUGUUAAAGCAUUGAACGAUGCCACCAUGGAUUAGAAGAAUUCAGAGUCUCUGCCAAAAUGUGACUUGAUUUCUGUUUCUGGGUGCUGAAGUUUGACGUGUCCCUCCUCUGGGAGUUAUGGUGGUAGUUUGUUUUGCUGUUUAUCUGCUUGAUCAUGAAUUCAGAAAUAUUAUUGAAGUAAUAUUUAAAAGAGUGACAUGGAGCUAUUGAAUCUCUCUACCCUAAAGUUAAGGGGAAAAUGUAAAAAAUACAUCUGGCUAUUAUAAUCCACAGGUUCCUUCCUUCAUAAGAGGGAGAUGAUAACUUUUAUUGUGUCUGUGACUUAAUCUUCAAAUAUUAAUAAUAUACAUAUGGUAAAGGGAACAGGUGGUUUUAAAGAAAUUAAUUUGUAGCAAUCAUUCCUAUCAUCUACUAAAUUUAUGUCAAUGACUGCACAACAUUUCAUCUUUAUCUUUUCUGAUAGUACACUUCUAUGACUUUGGAAAUUAUGAAUUUCAGAUUUAUCAUUUUCAAAUUCAAAGAUGAAAUAAGAACAAAAAUAAGUGUUCGUAUAUAUGAACACCUAAUUUUGCCUACUCGCACAUGCACAUAUGUGUACAUAAGCUAAGAUAGCAACCUGGAAAUAUCUCCAAAAUAAGCCCUGUUAGAUUUAGUGAGGCGCAACUGUGCAUAGAAUUUAUUCUUCGAUAAAUUACAAACUAUUCCCACUUAUUUGAGACUGAACUCCCAUUAAAUCCCAAGUGAAUUUCUGCACAGCACAUAUAAAAACAAAAAUCUGCAGUCCUGUGUGUUUUUCUCUUGUGGGUAAAUUAUUUUGAACAAAAUGUGCUUUUAUUCAACUGCAGAUAUAUUUAAAGCUGGUCCUUUGAAAUCUCUGGGACAAUAGAGUACAAUCCACAGGGAUUAUAAUGGAAGUACUAUACUGAAAUACUGUAUGGUGGUGUAAACAAGGAUCUAGUUUACUGAGACUUACUUCUGAAUAAACAUGCAGUGGAUUAUGCUGUGAGAAACGAGGUGGUCAUAGCUGACAUUCAAGCCUGUAUGUCAUGCUUGCAAUUAACUCAGGCAUCAACCAUAUAGCCUUCACAUUUGUUUCAAGUUUGCUUCCAAUCUGACAUUUAAUAUAAUUCAAUAGAUUUUAUUUUUCUAUAUGAAAAUAUUGGAAAACCAUAUUGCUCUACUUUGCUUUGAAUUUCACAUUUGCUUUAUUUGAAAGCCAAUGUUAAUAAGUCACAUGGAUAUGUUAGCACAAAUAUUUUAAAUCUUGCAUUAUAUGUCUGUAUGUUUUAGAGCUUUUGUAAAAAAAAAUAGAAUUUUAAAAAGAAAUUUUAUUUUUGUAGCAUGAUUUGAUGAAAUAUUCUUAAUCCACGUCUCACUUGGUUGCCUUUAAUAUAGCUCCAGUGCCAAUAUAUUAAUGGUUGUAACAAAUCAGAAGAUACAGGUGCUAUUGGAACUAAUUGAUGGAUUGUACUCUUAUCUAUUAUAAUUGUUGCUCUGCUAUCUAAUAAUCUUUUCCUGUUUACUAAGUUGUAUGAACUAUUUUUUCAUACUUUGAAUAUUAAUUCCUGGAAUAAGUCCCCAAUAUUUUCCUGUAUAAUACUCAUUUGUUUUAUUUGUAGCCAUAUAAGGUGUGAAAAGGUGCAUGAAUCCAAAAAUUCAGCAUUGCAUUUGGUUUGUUUUCCUAGGUGGUGUAUCUCAAUAAUUUGUUCUCAGUGGAAUAUAGGUAGGCUCAUGUGAAUAUCCCUUUGUUAUAUCCUUUUGUUAUAUAAUGUCCUCUGUCAAGACUACAGUUGUCCAAAUUACUAAACAAAACGCACUGUUAUAGAAAUUUCUCACAGUUUGGAAAACAUUUUCCAGAAACUGAAACUCUGCUAUGCUGACAUUUUGCAUUUAUCUUGAACUUCUGUAGAGUAACACCAUGACAAUUAUUGAUUUUUAGUUAGUACUAUUGUAAUCCAGAAUGAAUUUAAGAGAGUUUAGUGUUUUAUGGGAAUAUCAAUGAAAUUAUUUCUGACUAAGCAACAGUAGGUAUGUCAUACUUCACAAAUAUGAGCAAGUAGCCUGUUAUAUUUCCAAUUUUUACAUUGUGGAGAUGCAGUGAAGCUGACCCAAAGAAUUCUACUGAGGAACAACUUGUUAAAAGGCAUAGCUCCAAAUGCUGAAAAUCUAAUAUUGUAUUCCUAAUAUUUAGUUAGAAAGGACAAACCUACCUUGAACCUUGGAUAGUUGGUUUAAUACAAAUAGUAUGGACUAGAUAAAUUAAUAGUUGAAUAUGGUUAAUUGUAGUAUCCUGUGUUCUUUACGUUUCUACCCUCCCUGAUGAAUCCUAGUUAUUACAUUUAUCAUAUAGUUCUAAGAUGAACAUCUAAUUGCUUCUCUUAGUUUCAAGAUACAUUUUUAGAAAUAUAAGAAUGUUUGUUCUGCUAUUCAUGCUACCAACUAUGUGCAAUAGAAAUUAUUCAACUUUAUGUAUAUUUAUUCAUUUAGGUUUGGCAUAGACUUAGCUCAGGGAAUACCUGCAGAAGAAUCUCUCCUGCCACCAGUUCAGUUCCUUGGCUCUGACCCAAAGGACUUGCCCUAAAACUCAACGGGCUUGCAGUUUCCAGCAGAAUUUUUCACUUCUCAUUUCUGACCAUAAUUCCUUAGGAUGUGACAGAAGACCCUCUGAGGAGUUUUGAGGUGGAAGUGACUCAAAACCUUGCUGCACAUUUGGAGCCCAUCAUUUACAGUACAGCUCUUUGGGCUAAAGAACAAUAGAUCGAAUGCUGAGAAAAAGUAGUCCAGCAAAAUUUUCUUGCAGCAUGAUAGGAGUCUUUCAUGUGUUAUGUGUGCAUUGUAACCUGCACCAGCUAUACUAUUCACCAGCAUACCAUAAAAUAUUUGUUUUGUUUAUGAGAAUUGUUUCAGUUAGCUAGUCUCAUUUUUAACAGGAUUCUUCUUUCUUGGCCUGAAUAUAUGCUUACACAGCAAUUCAAAGUUUGCAGUCUAAGAUAACAUGUAAUGAGUUCUAGCGUCUUUGAUUCUAUUGCAAGGUAUUACAUUGAAAUUUAUAUUUAGUACCUUUUAUUUUAACCUAUUAGAGAGCAAUAUAUUUCAAGCUGGUUCUGCUUGCUGUCAGCCAUUUUCACGCCUAUUCCUCUUACUAAAAGUUAUCUGCUCAUGUAUGUAUUUUGUUACUUGUUUAUAUAAAAUAUGCAUACAUUAUUCACAGGUUACAUUGUUCAGAUUUCUUGGCUGCUAGAAAUUACAAUUACUUUAAAAUGUAGGAUAAUCCAGAAAGAUACAAUCUCAGGUAUCUUUGCAGUUAACAGUAUCUUCUUUAUGGCUUUUAUAUUUUAUCGUUUUGCAUAUAAAUUCAUCCAAUAAUCCAGUACACACCACGUUGAGUUUAAAAAGGUUAAGUAUUGUUGUUUUGAAAGCUUUUAGCUAGUGAUUUAGAAAUUUUCUAUCCUUCAUGAUGUCAGGAUAAAUUAACCACAUAUAUUUUAUUAAAUCAUCAUAAACUAUUUUAUAUUCAUUUCACUUCAGCAUAUUUCACUUAAUUAAUAUGUAUAGAUAUAAUUUUAGUUCCACACAUGGGAAUGACAAACUAAAUGUAACAAGUAAGAGUCAGGAUUUCAGAAAACAGUGUAUGUUAGUAUGGAGAAAUUUCAGAUAUACUUAAGGAGACCUUAGCAUACCCUUACAUUUAACCAUCCAUCUGAUUAUAAAGAACAGGAAAUAGCAUGUAGGUGAGAGAACUGCAAGUAGGGAAGAGAAUAGCAGUAGUUGCUGGAAGGCACUCAAAGCUUAAAUCUCCUCUGCCAGCUCACCAAAAGCUAAUAAACUUCUUUUUUGCAGGUUACUAAUCUCUAAAACCUUAUUUUGAAGAGUGUUUUGAUAACAUAAAUAUUGACUUUCAUCCAACAAUUGGCUUCCUUCUCGGGAUAUUCAGCAUAUUGUGUUCAUAAUAUUGUUAGUUAUAUUGUCAAAAAUUAAUAUAGUCAGCCAGUUGUAUAUUUAGCAAAUAAAAGCUUUUGAAUAGUUUCAAUAUACAUUCUAAAGGAUUGCAGGGAAAAUAUUAUUUUAUUGUUUUUUCAAGUGUGCAGUCUGUUUGGUUUUUUUCAUAUUUAUCUAAUUACAAACUAGUGGAAUUUUAGAAUAUAAAAAUUAGAAUUGCAAAUUUCUAGGAGCAUGCUUAUUUAAAGUUAUGCUGCCUGCUUACAUUUUGAUGAACAUGUCUAAAUCAUUCCAAUAGUUGCAAAUAUCAGAGUAAAAAAAUCAGAGUAAUAAGUAAUAAAAUAGGUAUUUUGCCUUCAGUCAAUAUAAUUUGCACUUUUGUUCAGAACUGGUCAUUCAUUAUUUAUGCUGUUGCAUUCAUAUAAAUAUUGUGGUCCUCCACUUGCCAAGUGGACAUUUCACCUACUGAAAUCAAUGAACCUUUCAAGUACUAAGUUCAAGAUUGGAAUGUUUGAUAACGUACAUACUCACAUAUUAUUCACAUUUAUACUUUUUUCAUUAUGCACUGUGCAGAAAAUUCAAGAAGAAUUUGCAGUGGAUUAUCUACUUAUUUGUGUAGUUUCUUUUCCUUUUAUAUGUAAGGAGCAUGUUUUCAAUUAAAAGCAUAUAGAAAAAUGAAAGUACAAGUCACAUCACAAUUAGACUAAAAUUGUGGUGAAGUGCUGGGAGACUCAAGAUAGAAAGAUCUGAAUCGGGGUGGGAAGGGGGGAACAGUAUUAGAGAUGGGUAACACAGAACAAAUAGGUUUGAUGAAAUACCAGGACUCAAACUGAAAAAUCUUGAAGAAAUAUAGGCAGAUGAAGCUAACUGGCAGUCUGGAAGAACUAAUUUACCAUCAGAACAUAGGAGAAACAAAAAAUGAUACAAAGCUAUAGACACAAAAUCAACAUUUAGUUUCAUUUCAGAGAUGUAAGCCUGAGUAGAAGCAAUUAGCAAUAAUUGAAAAACCAGUAGCUACCAGCAGGGUAUGAUGUUCUACUUUUCAGUCUAAAUUAACUGAAAGCUGACUACCCUAGACUAAAUAAAGCCUUUUCUCUCAACUCUCAUACUGAUUACAAAUCCUCUGACUGCUGAUGCCAUGGACAACAUAUUCUUCAUAACCCCAAUGUUGGUGGGUUUAACUUGACCAUUUCCAGUCAGUGACUUCCAUUUUUGAAGGGUAUGCAUUGUGCAUCACAAACUUUGAUUUAUUAGGAUCUAUUGUUUCUCCUAUCCAUUGGUAAUGUCUUCCAGUUGCAGACGUAUCUGUGGAGAGAUUGUUGAGGGGAAAAUGACAAUUGUAUUAUGUCAUCGAAGAAUGUGAAUAUUUGUGUGAGUUAUGAUGAAAGUACACAUUGUAACAUUUCCAUAAUAGUGCAUUUACAAUAUUGAUCUCGUUAUGGCUUAUUAUGGUGCCUAUGUCUGAUUUGUGAAUAUAAGAAAUCAGCAUCCCCUUUUUACAAAAUAUGUACUAUUACUUUUCAAACUGCUUACAGUGCCAGUGACUAGAUCCUCAUGUUAUGCUAAUCCAUAAAAUGGUUUGUUGGGUUUUGUUGUAGCAUAUUAUAUGAGCUCAGUCGUUUGUUUGUUGUUGUUUUUUGGUAAAUCAUACUUGUGUGAGCUAAGUCAAGAAAUAUGUGAAUCCUAUUUGUGUAUUUGUUUUAAUGAUCACUCUGAUGUAAGAUAUCAGUGGAGUAGGACCACCUAAAACAUCAAAUUAUAUUGUUACACUUUUACUAUUUGCUGUAUAGUAUUCUUUGCAUGUUGAAAUGCACCUCUAAAAUUAUUUCUUUUUAGGUGCCUACAGUCCAGAGAGACUAUUUGCCCUCUUCUGCUAAAACAAUUCAAGUUGUGUGCAUCUGCUGUAUAUGCUCACCGUAUGAGCAAAGAAGUUGGUUUCUGGGGCUGAGUUUGCCCUCCUAAGAAUAUGACCAUGCAUUGAUUAAAUACAUUAGUCAGUAAAAUUCUAUAGGUUCAACAUUAUAACUUGAAAUUCAUUUUUUGAAGGUGAUAAAAAAUGUUUAUAUAUUCUGUUAUAUCAAAAUAUGUUUUUGUCAGUACAUACAUCAUUUAAUUUUAUUUUGUUACAUAAUCAUAUUUUUAUGUUCUUAAUAUUUUGGAAAUGCAAAUAUACAUGAUCAGUAGUUUUUUGUCUGAAGUUAAAUUAUAUUUACUUUUAUUUGAACUACAGAAGUUGUUAGUUUUAGAGUAUAUCAAUAGGAAUUUUAUAAAGCGGCUUGAUCGUUAAGUUUCUGAGCCCAUGUGGAACUCUAUAUUCAUAGGCCUCUUGUUUCUCUUUUUCUGAGCAAGGCAUUAAUGUUCACAUAGUGAGGAAUCUGCUGCCUUCCUCAGGCAAGAGAAUGAGAAAGUUCUGCACAUAAUUCCAGGCCAUGGGUGCUUCAGUGAUUAUAUCUAUAUUCUAUUUCCUCAUUCACUUGAGUAAGUGAUUUCAGAAUUCUUGAGAAAUCACAUUCUAGUGAAUUGCAAUUGCAGUUAUGAAUAAAGAACAAUUCUAUGUGUAUCAGGUUUUCUGCACUCCACAGAGGUGAUUCCAAAAUGAUAGAAUGUGCUAGUGUCUAACAGAGCUGGCUGACUCACUUAACGGUGUAAAUGUUGAUAGAAUUAUCCUAAUGAUGCUAUUUCUCUAGCUCAAGGGUGUCAAACUCAUGGCCCGCGGCCCAGAUGUGUCAUGUGCUGGCCACACCCACCCCUGGUUUAGUGAAGGGGAAAAAAGUCGUGAAACAUCACAUGAUGAUGUGAUGAUGCGAGUUUGACACCCCUGCUCUAGCUCAACUGCCUUGAGUUUUCAAGACCUAGAAUUAAACCUGAGGAUUUUCAAUCAUCUGGCUUUUCUACAGGAUUACAAUGCAAUUUAUUAGAUGGUUACAGUUUGAGGAUUGCGUCCCUAAGCAGAAUUUCUCUUGAAACCCUUCCCAUCUAAACCAGUGAGAUUUACUGGGGAGUAAAUGUGUUUAAAGUUACAAAAAAAUUGCAGUCUCAGGUUCUUGCUUAGUAACUGGCUGAUUUAAUGAAGACACAUGGUUAGUAACUGCACUCAAACCCAGUUGAUAGGGUCAUCAUUUAUUUCCACCUUAUUGUAUGUCUGCAUUGCUAUUUUAAUGAUAUAUGUUAUUGAAAUGGAUCUCCGUUACUUGGAGCUAAAAUAAAAUGUAGUAUGUAGUCUUAAAAUUGUAAGUAUAGGAGAUCUGGACUCUUGCAUUAUUGUUUUCAUUUUUUAAAAAUGUUCAUUAUAGAUUGUGAGCUGCUAAUCUUAUUAGGCUAAAAGGUAGACAGGAUUUUAAACAAAUCACCUGAACGAGCUGCAUAAUAUAAUAUUUGUAUUUUGCCACUAAAGAGACAAAGCUUGUUGGAUGUAGUAUCUUUUAGAUCUUGUCUUUGAAAAGAACAUAGGUGAACUUGAAAAGUUUAAAUAGAGUAAAAUUUAUAGAACAGUACAAUAUAAAAGAUGUGGGAAAUUAGUUAGAUUUAAUUAGCUUUAUUGUUUUCUUUUUUCCUUUUUCUUUUAUGUAGUUCUUAGAAAUGAGUCCAUGAUAACUGAUAAAUUUUAGCUUUUAUAACUCUGAAUAUAAAAAUAAAAUUGUGACAAUGAUUAAAUAAUUCUACAUUUGUUGAAUGGGGGUGCCAAGGAAAAAAACAUCUUUUGUGUUUUUAGACAAACUAUUGAGCAAAAGACAUUUGAUUGAGGAUAAUCACUAUCUGUUAACACUGAUGUUGUUAGCACAGCAGAAGAGGCGGUAUAAAAGAAUAGCCUAAUUGUUGAACUACAAAUUAAACAGCACAUUCCAUAUACUGAGCUGACAUUCAAAAGCAUCAGUCCGUGAAUGAUCCAUGCUUUAAUUUCAAUAACAAAUCAUACUACAAUAAAUGCUAGACCACUGCUUGUAUAUAAAGUUUUAGAGAAAAAUUGGGGAUUAAGGUAAGAAUUGUUAUUGUCACGUCUUAGUUUCUUUUUGUUCUCUUAUUAUAAAUUAAAAGAAGGGUGAGAAGUGAAAGUGGAAUAUUGAUGAAGCCUAUUAUGUGUUAAUUAUUAGAAACUGGAGCCAUUGAUGAUUUUAAAAAAUAUGAAUUGGAUGUCUCUAGUUCAGCAAGGACUCAACAUGUUCAGAGAUUCCUUCUAAGAGCACAUACUGAUUAAACCUGAGGUACAUCGAUGUUUAUAAAACUCUUGGUGUACAGUAAUAUAAUAUUAAAAAUAUUGGCAUUGACCGGUUUUUAAAAUUAUUUUAUUCUGGUCAUUAGCUGUCUUAUCUCUGCUUCCAUGCCAUCAGUCCAAAUUGAAAGCAAUGUAAUAUAAUUGUAGCCUUCCACAAAGUUUGAUGAAUCAGAAAAUUAUUCUCACAGUUGAAAAAAAAAGUUGUUAGAAUUUGGCCUGAAAAUAACAUGGAUUACCACUGCUAUAAAAAUCAAUAAGUGAAACUUUGCCUAUGAAAUCAAACAACCUACAAAAAAGUGUGAUUAUGUAUCACAGACCCAGCCAAAGAUUCACUUGCCUUUGAUUGAAAAGAUGUUCCAUCCCAAAUAUUGCUACUACUGAGUGUGCUGUGAAUGGGAGAAAGUCAUGCGUACCUUUCUGAGACUAUCUUCCAAGACUAAGAAUGGAUCUGAACUCUCCAGUGUGAUGUAAGGAAGAAUCGUAGCAUCUAAUACAUUCAGAGCUUGGUGUCUGUGCUUAAUGGGCCUUAUAUAUUAUGCUGUUUAACCUAGAAUUGUUCUCUCUGUUCUGUUAAAUGCAACUCUUAGAAUUAAACCAUUAGAACUCUUAAUAUGAGAUGGCAGCAUAUUAAAUAAAUGAAUAAUAUCAGAAUGGUUCUGUCCUAAUUAAGUAACUUUUAUAUCAAAAUCCAUUUAUGAUUUUUGGCUAAUUGCAAUAAAAGUUCCCUUAAACUGAAAAUGGCACUUUCAGUGGAGCGCUACGUGAGAUAAAAGAUUGUACUUUGUUCUUCAGUCAUGUCCUGCUUUUUGAAUAAGAACAUCAUCCAUCUAAAACUGCUUCAACUACUGUUUCUUUUCAAAGCUGCAUAAAUUGAUGGAACAUGGUUACUGCUGUUUAAAAACUCUGUUUCUCAUUCAACUAAGAGAGGCUAGAUCAGUUUGCAACGAAACAUCAUGGAUUAAACUACAUAUGUUCUGCUCUUCCAAUAUUUCUUACAUCAACAUGUUAUUUUAGAGUGUGCUUGCUAUAUUAUAUCUACAUUCUGCAAUCAUGACAAUGCUGAAAUUCUGUGAACAUUUAUUACAAAUAGUUUUGUUAAAGAAGUGUAGAAAUGUACUGUAUGAAACAAUAACAUUUAUGCCUAGAUAUGAACUUGUUUUAUAUUAUCACUUUUGAAAUAUUGUAUAUUACAAAAUUAUUGAUGAGCUGCUUGGAUAAUUAUAUACAUAUCUCUACAUUACUUAGGUGUCUUUUAUUAGUAGAUGUCAUCAAAUCUGCUAAUUAUAAAGAUUUUAGGAAAGUUUGAUGAAAGAUUUGAACGUUUAAGAAAAGAUGUUCAGAAAUGUGAUAAUACAGACCUGUGUGGCUUGUCAUACUUCUUUGUGUCAUGGAAAUAGUCUAUUGACAGGCAAAAGGUUGAAGAAGACAUGCAAAUGUGUUCACCUUCCUGUCAAUUUUAAAGCAGGAUUCCUUGGUGUAACAAAUGGACAUCAUCGGGAAGCAAGGGGAAAGUGAUAUCACACACAUCAUAACAACAAACAAAUUAUUCAAAUUAUGUAAUUCAUGAUAAUGAAUUGAUGUUAUACAUUUGAUAUCAUGGUUUCUGUCAGUUAUGUGGGGUAUUAAAACAUUGCAGUUUAUUUUCAUGCUCACAGAAAUGCAGAUACUUAGAGCACAAUCCUUUAAAUGAUUGUUGAAAACAAACCUUCCUUAGUUGAGUUUAACACCAGAUGUGUGUAAAGGAUUAGUAUUGCUUGUUAAAUAGAUUUUAUAUUUAAGUACUACAAUGUAGAUGAAUUGUUGAUUAAAAAAUGAGAUGUUUAGAUUUGAUUUUUGAGACACAGAUAUGGAACUGGAUAUUUUUCUGUUUGUAAGGUCAAAAACCAUGUAUAUAAUAUAGUUGAAGAUAAGUAUCAGUAUGAAAAACUACUAUCAAAACAUUUCAAAUUCAGGAAUAUUUUUUUUAUUAUUUUAAUUAGAUGAAAAGCAUUUUGAAAGAAAAUAUGCCUUCAUAUAUUUUAGGCACCGUUCUCGGCUUUACUUUUAUAAACUUUUUAACAUUGAAAUGUAAAAAUAAAUGCAAAAUCUUCAAGUAAAGUAUAUUAAAUUGACAACACAAA
Pantherophis guttatus is the source of this 12477-nucleotide RNA transcript. It is a transcript of the gene named cyclin dependent kinase 6, with no coding region annotated. NCBI's taxonomy places the organism in Eukaryota, Metazoa, Chordata, Lepidosauria, Squamata, Colubridae. The record is from RefSeq and is a predicted model, not a curated record.